Molecule: long non-coding RNA, 656 nt
Organism: Papaver somniferum (opium poppy)
Lineage: Eukaryota; Viridiplantae; Streptophyta; Magnoliopsida; Ranunculales; Papaveraceae
Exons: 3
Source: RefSeq, a predicted model, not a curated record
AAAAAUCUUCAUAUUGGUUUCUUCACCUCUUUUUAAUAAUCUCUCUGCAACUGUGAGACCAUUUUGUCAAGCAAUAAUGUUGAUGUCUAUAUUUGCCUAACUCAUUCUUCUUAUUCGUUAGGAAUCCAAAAGAGGCAACUGAAUAUUUUCUUGAUAGACGGCUUUUAUUGGUGAGAAAUGGCUCAAGUGUUGGAUUGAUCCAAGAGAAACUUAUACUGAAAAAAGAGCAGGCCAAAGGAAUCUUUCCUUAGAUGUGAACUGCUCUGUAUAUCCCGCUUCUGAAAUAUAUCCAAGGAAGAAACUAUUGUUACAGCAAGGAUAAGAAGAGAUCUCAAAGUUGGCGAAAGAUUAUUGUUCUCUUUCUGAUUUGAGGAGUUAGUCUCGUUUCCUCAUUUUCGAUGGUACAAGUGGAGCUUCAUUUUGACAAGGAUGCACCACCACCCCGAUAACCUUUCACAUUUUGGCAAUCGUCAAGAAAGAUCCUGAUCAAAAAAAAGAAAUAAAAACAAAGCAGGCUUGCCUUGCAAAUAUCGUUGACAUGAGUUGUGAGAAUUAUGGAAAUGAAAAUCGAAUUUUCCAGAAUUAUUCCAACCAGGCUGCGCAGUCACCCAAAUUGAAUAAAACAUUAAUACUAAUGGGUUUUUGUUUUCCUUCUU